GGGAUCAGUUCCAGGUGUUGUUCUUUCCUCCACUUUUCCGUUUGUUCUCCCAUCUUUCCAUCUUUCUAAAUUUUUUUAAUUACAAAAAUAACUUAUUUUUUACUUUUUUAACUUUUUUAUUUUUUUUAGUUUUAAUGUUAUUUACCAGGGAGUAACCCUCAAUCCUGCUUCACUUUUACUCUGUUCAAAGUCCCACCCGCAAGCUUUUGAGAUUUGUUUUUCUUCUCC
Molecule: long non-coding RNA, 228 nt
Filed under: Vigna radiata
Lineage: Eukaryota; Viridiplantae; Streptophyta; Magnoliopsida; Fabales; Fabaceae
Description: long non-coding RNA (VRAD_LNC011954)
Source: RNAcentral